ACAAGGAGAUGACUUCUGUCCUUAAC
Molecule: non-coding RNA, 26 nt
Filed under: Rattus norvegicus (Norway rat)
Lineage: Eukaryota; Metazoa; Chordata; Mammalia; Rodentia; Muridae
Source: RNAcentral